This 391-nucleotide ribosomal RNA is filed under the name Pristionchus sp. MK-2017. Its description in RNAcentral is "SSU rRNA". It matches the Rfam family "Eukaryotic small subunit ribosomal RNA", at positions 548 to 961 of the family's 1831-position model. Lineage: Eukaryota; Metazoa; Nematoda; Chromadorea; Rhabditida; Neodiplogasteridae. The record is from RNAcentral.
UGGGAGGGCAAGUCUGGUGCCAGCAGCCGCGGUAAUUCCAGCUCCCAACGUGUAUAUCGUCAUUGCUGCGGUUAAAAAGCUCGUAGUUGGAUCUAAGUUUAUGACAGUAGUUCUCCAUGUGAGAUACUGCGUGUCUGAACUGUUUCGCCGGUUUUCCGUAGUUUCGGCUGCGGUGACUGGUGUUGUAACUUUGAUUAAAUCAAUGUGAUUAAAACAGGCGUUUGCUUGAAUGCUUUAUCAUGGAAUAAUAGAAUAUGACUUCGGUCCAUUCUGUUGGUCUUGGGAUUGAAGUAAUGAUUAAAAGGAACAACUCGGGGGCAUCCGUAUCGCUGCGUGAGAGGUGAAAUUCUUGGACCGCAGCGAGACGACCUAUUGCGAAAGCAUUUGCCAA